Long non-coding RNA from Cyprinus carpio (common carp), 988 nucleotides. Lineage: Eukaryota; Metazoa; Chordata; Actinopteri; Cypriniformes; Cyprinidae. The record is from Ensembl.
CAAAUGUACUGCUGCUUUUGAACACUUAGUAAAUAAUGAAAAUAAUACAUCUCGCAUUGAACUAAUCCCAUGUAAUCCUCGCCAGCCGUGUGCUUCUAUCUGAUGCAAGAACAUCUACAUCUUAAAUGCUUUGGUUGUAGCAUCUUACAAACGCAUGUUUAUACCCAGACACUGAGAUAUUCAUAAAUCUAGUUUCCAGGAAUUUUGCAUGCAGCGUUUGGGUUUCUGCAUGCGUGUGUUUUGUCGGAGCGCUGUCAGUCAUUUAUAUGGAGUUGUGUGAAUUUCUGAAUGACUAACAGCAUUCCUGUUCAGUAUUCCUGUCUCUGCGUAUUCGAGUAGGGCUCCGUGGACAAUAACUCAUGAAUUUUUAAGGUCAGAUCAGGUCUGCUCCGCUGCGGCUUUCAAAUGUUCUUUGAGGCACCUGCACCUAAAUACUUCACAUAUACAGCUGAAGCCUGCUUCAGAGAUGCUCUAGACAAGCAAAGGUGAUGCUCUUGGCAAACAAAGGUGAUGAGCUCAGAAAUCCAAUUCAGUUUCCUGUGGGGCUUGGCCAAUUCAUUUCAAACUCAUGAACCGAAGGUAAUUCUAUUCUUAAUCUUUUGCUCAUGAUUCUCUUAUGUUGGUGUUGACUUGCUCAAGUGUUCUGGUCUUAAACUAAGAGGUGUUGUGUGUGACCGUUCUCAAAGCCCGAGAACACAGUUAGAUGUAAUGGCUAUUCAUGUACACAUUUAGAGAGAUAAUAGAAUGAACUGAUCACAUUCAUUCUUUUUAAAGUCCAUUUACAGCACAUUCAUCUCGCUAUUACAGCAUUAAGUAUAGAAUAAGACACCAAUGCACGCUAAAGCAAAAGCCAGGUCUUACAUAAACCACUUGGCACAGACCAAUUAGGACACACAGUGAACACUAAUAUAUCACAGAUUGGGCUCCUUCCUUGCAUCUUCGCUGCACUGCUGUUCUGUUCGCUCUCUACAGUAGCUAUAAUAGCAUC